GGGUGAUUAGUUUAAAGAUAAAACAUUUGAUUUCGGCUCAAAUAUUCGUGGUUUAACCCCACGAUCAACCUG
RNAcentral lists this transfer RNA (72 nucleotides) under Diplodus holbrookii (spottail pinfish). RNAcentral describes it as "tRNA-Arg". It matches the Rfam family "tRNA". From Rfam's summary of the family: Transfer RNA (tRNA) molecules are approximately 80 nucleotides in length. Their secondary structure includes four short double-helical elements and three loops (D, anti-codon, and T loops). Further hydrogen bonds mediate the characteristic L-shaped molecular structure. tRNAs have two regions of fundamental functional importance: the anti-codon, which is responsible for specific mRNA codon recognition, and the 3' end, to which the tRNAs corresponding amino acid is attached (by aminoacyl-tRNA synthetases). tRNAs cope with the degeneracy of the genetic code in two manners: having more than one tRNA (with a specific anti-codon) for a particular amino acid; and 'wobble' base-pairing, i.e. permitting non-standard base-pairing at the 3rd anti-codon position. The record is from RNAcentral. Lineage: Eukaryota; Metazoa; Chordata; Actinopteri; Spariformes; Sparidae.